CGAUAGUGAACUAGUACCGUGAGGGAAAGGUGAAAAGCACCCCGAUGAGGGGAGUGAAACAGUACCUGAAACCGAACGCCUACAAGCAGUAGGAGGGCCCUUGAGGCCUGACUGCGUACCUCUUGCAUAAUGGGUCAGUGACUUAGUGUAACAAGCAAGCUUAAGCCGUUAGGUGUAGGCGCAGCGAAAGCGAGUCUGAAUAGGGCGAAUGAGUUUGUUGCAUUAGACCCGAAACCCGGUGAUCUAGGCAUGACCAGGUUGAAGGUGCGGUAACACGCACUGGAGGACCGAACCGUUCAAUGUUGAAAAAUUGUCGGAUGAGUUGUGUUUAGGGGUGAAAGGCCAAUCAAACCGGGAAAUAGCUGGUUCUCCGCGAAAUCUAUUGAGGUAGAGCGUCGGAUGAAUACCAUGGGGGGUAGAGCACUGGAUGGAUGCGGGGGUCGCGAGAUCUACCAAUUCUAACCAAACUCCGAAUACCCAUGAGUAAUAUCCGGCAGACAGACGGCGGGUGCUAAGGUCCGUCGUCAAAAGGGAAACAGCCCUGACCUACAGCUAAGGUCCCCAAGUCAUCACUAAGUGGUAAAGCAUGUGGGAAUCCCAAAACAACCAGGAGGUUGGCUUAGAAGCAGCCAUCCUUUAAAGAAAGCGUAACAGCUCACUGGUCUAAAUAAGGGUUCCUGCGGCGAAAAUGUAACGGGGCUAAAGUGAUGCACCGAAGCUUAGGGUGUGUAGUUUACUACACGCGGUAGCGGAGCGUUCCGUAGGCUGAUGAAGCGAUCUGGUAAUGGGUCGUGGAGGUAUCGGAAGUGCGAAUGCUGACAUGAGUAGCGAUAAAGAGGGUGAGAUGCCCUCUCGCCGAAAUCCCAAGGGUUCCUGCUUAAAGCUAAUCUGAGCAGGGUAAGCCGGCCCCUAAGACGAGCCCGAAGGGGGUAGUCGAUGGGAACCACGUUAAUAUUCGUGGGCCUGGAGGUGUGUG
This 976-nucleotide ribosomal RNA is filed under the name Lingulaulax polyedra. Its description in RNAcentral is "Lingulodinium polyedra partial Bacterial large subunit ribosomal RNA". It matches the Rfam family "Bacterial large subunit ribosomal RNA", at positions 485 to 1457 of the family's 2925-position model. Lineage: Eukaryota; Dinophyceae; Gonyaulacales; Lingulodiniaceae. The record is from RNAcentral.